UUCUGCACUCAAGAAAAACAGUUUCCGAUGCAGUUCCUCGGUUAAGCCGAGGGCUUUCACAUCAGACUUAUUCUUCCGCCUGCGCUCGCUUUACGCCCAAUAAAUNCGGACAACGCUUGCCACCUACGUAUUACCGCGGCUGCUGGCACGUAGUUAGCCGUGACUUUCUGGUUGAUUACCGUCAAAUAAAGGCCAGUUACUACCUCUAUCCUUCUUCACCAACAACAGAGCUUUACGAUCCGAAAACCUUCUUCACUCACGCGGCGUUGCUCCAUCAGACUUGCGUCCAUUGUGGAAGAUUCCCUACUGCUGCCUCCCGUAGGAGUUUGGGCCGUGUCUCAGUCCCAAUGUGGCCGAUCAGUCUCUCAACUCGGCUAUGCAUCAUCGCCUUGGUAAGCCUUUACCUUACCAACUAGCUAAUGCACCGCGGGGCCAUCCCAUAGCGACAGCUUACGCCGCCUUUUAAAAGCUGAUCAUGCGAUCUGCUUUCUUAUCCGGUAUUAGCACCUGUUUCCAAGUGGUAUCCCAGACUAUGGGGCAGGUUCCCCACGUGUUACUCACCCAUCCGCCGCUCGCUUUCCUAACGUCAUUACCGAAGUAAAUCUGUUAGUUCCGCUCGCUCGACUUGCAUGUAUUAGGCACGCCGCCAGCGUUCGUCCUGAG
RNAcentral lists this ribosomal RNA (663 nucleotides) under Lactobacillus gasseri. RNAcentral describes it as "partial 16S ribosomal RNA". Lineage: Bacteria; Bacillati; Bacillota; Bacilli; Lactobacillales; Lactobacillaceae. The record is from RNAcentral.